GAACUUAAGCAUAUCAAUAAGCGGAGGAAAAGAAACCAACAGGGAUUGCCUCAGUAACGGCGAGUGAAGCGGCACAGGCUUUCAAAUAAAACGUCUGGCUACCCCACCACAUCGAUUAAAAUCCCCUUGCUUGCCUUCGCUUUCAAUCGUCCUCCGCGACAGGAACUCAAUGCCUUGCCUUUCCACGGUUACCGUUGGUCUCUGAAGUGAGCCCAUGCUUUUUCGUAUCCUAGCAAGCAGAAC
Molecule: ribosomal RNA, 243 nt
Filed under: Phaeophyscia squarrosa
Lineage: Eukaryota; Fungi; Ascomycota; Lecanoromycetes; Caliciales; Physciaceae
Description: partial 26S ribosomal RNA
Rfam family: Eukaryotic large subunit ribosomal RNA (bases 1-74)
Source: RNAcentral